CUCUCUCUCUCUCUCUCUCUCUCUCUCUCUCUCUCCGUGGCCAUGUCUCCAAAUUCGCUCGGCGGCGGCGAAGACGAAUCGGUACUUCUUCGGUCCCGUCUCCCGCCCGUCGGAUCCCUCAAUCUCCUCUCCGAUUCUUGGCAUUCCCACACUGAUCGGAUCCUCCCUUUCCUGACCGAAAAUACCGAUUUCACGGUCAUCAGCAUCAUUGGUCCGACCAGUGUUGGCAAAUCGAUGAUACUAAACGACCUUUAUGGAUUCAAUGAGAGCACGCCCGGAAUGCUCCCACCUUUUACAUUGCAGUCGGAAGAAACAUGAGCAUUGGCUAGGCAUUGUACAACGGGAAUUGAACUUAGGAUUUCUGCUAAAAGGCUGAUUCUUCUUGAUACCCAGCCUUUAUUCAGCCCUUCUAUUCUAGUUGAGAUGAUUAGACCUGAUGGUUCGUCUUCAGUUUCUGUAUUAAAUGGUGAAUCCCUGUCAGCUGACCUGGCUCAUGAAUUGAUGGGUAUUCAGGAACCGUUCUAGCUUGGUGUUUUCCUAGUAUUCAUUAGUCAUGUUUUACUGGUGGUAUCAGAGGGAGUUCAUGAUGUUAAUAUGUGGCAUCUGAUGCUGACGGGAUGGAGUGAGUGAAUCGCAAUUCACAUAGGUCCUAAACAUCGAGCUGGAUUAGAUUAUCGAGGUAUUCUUGCCAUGGAAAAUGCCAUGAAUAAUUAUCAAAGCUAUAAUGUUCCACCUGGGAUGGAGUGAGUGAAUCGCAAUUCACAUAGGUCCUAAACAUUGAGCUGGAUUAGAUUAUCGAGGCACUGUUGUGGACAAAGCAAUUUGCCAUCCGCGAAACGACGACUUCUACAUGUGUUCACACGCAGGAAUGAUUAUAAGAUUUGACAUGGAGCUGACCUUUGUGUUAAAUUGUGGGAAGUCACCAUCCAUCCUCCAUUGAUUAAUUGCAUCGCCCGGUCUUUUUUAUUGUGCUCAUAUCCAUACACAAACAGAAAGAAUUCGUACACAAUCAAUCAAGGUGCGUGUGGAUUGCUUACUUUUGCAUUGUCUUUUCCUUUAAACAGGGAACAACGCGCCCUACUCACUACCAUGUUUUGCUGGAUGAGAUUGGCUUCUCCCCUGAUGAUCUCCGUGAGCUUGCGCAUUCAUUGUCCUAUGUGUAUCAGAGGAGCACAACUGCGAUAUCAAUCGGUAAGUACCGUGUUUCUGUUAAAUGGCAAUUGCCUAUUUUAUGUUAUGAGGGGUUUUAAUUACUAUAUCCCUGUCAAAGGACUCUUUUGAGUUGUAGGGCUGCAACUUGGGAUCAACCAAAACCUUACUUACCCAAACGUAACCUAGGGUUUAGUUGGGGCUGGGUUGUUGGGUUCCUCGUUUGGUUAGGGUUGGAAAACUUAUAUGUAUUUGUGCGUGGAUGAAUGUGUGUUGUAUGUGGAUGUGGAUAGGAUUGUUUGUGUAUGGAUGGAUACGGUUUGUGUUUGGAUGGAUGUAA
Molecule: RNA transcript, 1489 nt
Organism: Magnolia sinica
Lineage: Eukaryota; Viridiplantae; Streptophyta; Magnoliopsida; Magnoliales; Magnoliaceae
Gene name: protein argonaute 4B-like
Exons: 9
Source: RefSeq, a predicted model, not a curated record